RNAcentral lists this ribosomal RNA (119 nucleotides) under Sinocyclocheilus anshuiensis. The record is from RNAcentral. Lineage: Eukaryota; Metazoa; Chordata; Actinopteri; Cypriniformes; Cyprinidae.
GCUUACGGACAUACUACCCUGUUCUCGCCCGAUCUCGUCUGGUCUCGGAAGCUAAAUAGGGUCGGGCCUGGUUAGUACUUGGAUGGGAGACUGCCUGGGAAUACUAGGUGCUGUAAGCU